AGAACAAAGAAGUGGUAUUGU
Molecule: unclassified non-coding RNA, 21 nt
Filed under: Dictyostelium discoideum
Lineage: Eukaryota; Evosea; Eumycetozoa; Dictyosteliales; Dictyosteliaceae
Source: RNAcentral